GAUGAACGCUGGCGGCGUGCCUAAUACAUGCAAGUCGAGCGAACGGACGAGAAGCUUGCUUCUCUGAUGUUAGCGGCGGACGGGUGAGUAACACGUGGAUAACCUACCUAUAAGACUGGGAUAACUUCGGGAAACCGGAGCUAAUACCGGAUAAUAUUUUGAACCGCAUGGUUCAAAAGUGAAAGACGGUCUUGCUGUCACUUAUAGAUGGAUCCGCGCUGCAUUAGCUAGUUGGUAAGGUAACGGCUUACCAAGGCAACGAUGCAUAGCCGACCUGAGAGGGUGAUCGGCCACACUGGAACUGAGGCACGGUCCAGACUCCUACGGGAGGCAGCAGUAGGGAAUCUUCCGCAAUGGGCGAAAGCCUGACGGAGCAACGCCGCGUGAGUGAUGAAGGUCUUCGGAUCGUAAAACUCUGUUAUUAGGGAAGAACAUAUGUGUAAGUAACUGUGCACAUCUUGACGGUACCUAAUCAGAAAGCCACGGCUAACUACGUG
This 497-nucleotide ribosomal RNA is filed under the name uncultured bacterium. Its description in RNAcentral is "partial 16S ribosomal RNA". It matches the Rfam family "Bacterial small subunit ribosomal RNA", at positions 28 to 507 of the family's 1533-position model. The record is from RNAcentral.